This is a non-coding RNA of Jatropha curcas, 527 nucleotides long. The record is from RefSeq and is a predicted model, not a curated record. NCBI's taxonomy places the organism in Eukaryota, Viridiplantae, Streptophyta, Magnoliopsida, Malpighiales, Euphorbiaceae.
CAUAAUUUCAUUCACACAUACCAUUGCAUACUGUGUUGGGGUUGAAAACAUUUUCUGUAGCCUCCUAACCUUCAUUCAAAGUUCGGUUUUCUUUUGAAAAUGGAGUUCUAUAUUACAUAUUUCCAUUCUCUUUCAGGAAGCUUUUGAAAGAGAAUCUUUUGGAAGGAAAAAAAAAACCUGCUUCACGACUAUAAACUUCAAUGUAAUCAAAUAAUCUGGAAUUCAUCAUGUUCAUGGAGGAGAAGUCUGCUGCAUGCUAGUAAUUUCUUACUGUCUGUAGUAAACAGUGAUACAAUGAUAUGUCAUUGAUGCUUAUAUAUGCUUAAUGAAACAUGUGAAGCCUGCAUGUUCUGAACUGCUGUGGCUUAUAAUGAAUUAUUGAAUGUGGUUUCUUGUGGUAUGUAUUGAGUGAUUUUUGAAUUGGCUGUGACUGAAACUCCAUGUGUUGGAAACAGUCUCUUAUGUAUUUUACUUGUCCAGAUAAAAGUCUGAUAUAAUUAAGAAAGCUGUUCACGCUCAUUUCCUUU